UACGUAGGUCCCAAGCGUUAUCCGGAAUUACUGGGUGUAAAGAGUUUGUAGGCGGAAUAGUAAGUUUUGUAUGAAAGACCGGAGCUCAACUCCGUGUUUGUGCAAAAAACUGCUAAUCUAGAAUUAGGAAGAGGUAAACGGAAUGGUAAGAGUAGAGGUGCAAUUCGUAGAUACUUACCAGAACACCAAAAGCGAAGGCAGUUUACUGGGACUAUAUUGACGCUGAGAAACGAAAGCGUGGGGAGCGAAAAGG
Molecule: ribosomal RNA, 253 nt
Filed under: uncultured bacterium
Lineage: Bacteria
Description: partial 16S ribosomal RNA
Rfam family: Bacterial small subunit ribosomal RNA
Source: RNAcentral